GGGUCAGUAGGUUGGUCGUGCCACCGGUACGUACUGGACUCACUGAUUCCUCCUUCCUGAAGAACCGUAAUGCCAUUAAUUUGGUGUUGCGGGGAAACAGGACUGUUAAUUUGAAAAAAUUAGAGUGUUUAAAGCAAGCUAACGCUUGAAUACACUAGCAUGGAAUAAUGAAAUAGGACGAUCGAUCCUAUUUUGUUGGUUUCUAGGAUUGACGUA
This 216-nucleotide ribosomal RNA is filed under the name Glomeromycotina sp. Its description in RNAcentral is "partial small subunit ribosomal RNA". The stretch from base 40 to 216 matches the Rfam family "Eukaryotic small subunit ribosomal RNA", at positions 686 to 864 of the family's 1831-position model. The record is from RNAcentral. Lineage: Eukaryota; Fungi; Glomeromycota.